ACGAACUGUAAAAGGGAGGAGUAAAUAGCAAUUACUACUGCACAAUCGCCAGCCUGGAAAGUUCUACUUCAGCAAACCAAGCUGUAACCAGAGUACUUCUCGUUGGUCAAUUUUGAAAAAGGCAAAGAAAAACUUUUUUUUUUUCUUUUUUUGGCCAGAUGCAGUGGCUCAGGCCUGUAAUCCCAGCACUUUGGGAGGCCAAGAUGGGAGGAUCACUUGAGCCCAGGAGGUCUAAGCUGAGGUAAGCCUUCAUUGCGCUACUGCACUCAGCCUGGGCGAGAGUGAGGCCCUGUCUCAAAAAGAUGUUUUAAAGAAAGCAUCACGAGGUUCAUCUGAUCUUUUUGCUUACUGCUCUGUCAAACCUAAGAACCAUUAAAAAAUCAGGAGCUGCCUACCGGGCUGAAAAGGGCUGCCGGUCUCCUAGAAGUUGUUAUUACAACGACAGCACUUUUUCUAAAUUAACAGUUGUUCAAAUCUUUGGUAAUCUCAUUUGCUGUUUGCCACAGCUCAGUGCAAUAGACUUUCACCGUGGGCACUGGGCAGCUGAGGCACCGGGACUCAGGGAAAUCAAGCGCCUGACGCUGUCUCACGCGAUCGCACCAAACCAAGGAAGCAGCCAGUGCCUCCCGUCAGGCCCCGCGGAGCGAAGCACCGCCCCGCAGGCAUCGGGCCAAUCUCAGAGGGCGCGCACGCCGCAUCAGGACCCCGGAACCCGCCCCGUUGGGGAUAGGGACAGAUGGAGAAUCCAGCUCAGACCCAGAUGUCUGUUCAGCAAAGACCAGAGCCCACUCUAUCCCAAACACAGGACUGUGUGUCAGUGAACAAGUAAAACAAGUCUAAAAAAGAAACCAUGGGCUAGGCGUGGUGGCUCACACCUGUAAUCCCAGCACUUUGGGAGGCCAAGGUGGGCGGAAUCACAAGAUUCAGUUCUUAAUAUGUAAAAACUGACAGAUAUAACAUCGUUGGAGUUUUUGAGAACCUUUAAGAGUAUCGAGGCAGAGAUCAAAAAGUUUAAGACUGGCUGCUCUACUUUACUAGACUUACUAGAAUAAUCUGGAUUAAAAAUUCCAUUUAAUCCACAUGUGACAAUAAUGUCUAAGAGGACUUAAGUGGAUUAAAAUAUAACUGUUACAAUCUAACAACAGGUGAACGAAUAAAAAAACUGUAGUAGAGCCACACAAUGGAAUACUACUCAGCAAUAAAGAGGAAUGAACUACUGAUACAUGAAA
Molecule: long non-coding RNA, 1229 nt
Organism: Pan troglodytes (chimpanzee)
Lineage: Eukaryota; Metazoa; Chordata; Mammalia; Primates; Hominidae
Exons: 3
Source: RefSeq, a predicted model, not a curated record